UGGGGAAUUUUGGACAAUGGGCGAAAGCCUGAUCCAGCAAUGCCGCGUGUGUGAAGAAGGCCUUCGGGUUGUAAAGCACUUUUGUCCGGAAAGAAAUCCUUGGCUCUAAUACAGUCGGGGGAUGACGGUACCGGAAGAAUAAGCACCGGCUAACUACGUGCCAGCAGCCGCGGUAAUACGUAGGGUGCAAGCGUUAAUCGGAAUUACUGGGCGUAAAGCGUGCGCAGGCGGUUUGCUAAGACCGAUGUGAAAUCCCCGGGCUCAACCUGGGAACUGCAUUGGUGACUGGCAGGCUAGAGUAUGGCAGAGGGGGGUAGAAUUCCACGUGUAGCAGUGAAAUGCGUAGAGAUGUGGAGGAAUACCGAUGGCGAAGGCAGCCCCCUGGGCCAAUACUGACGCUCAUGCACGAAAGGCGUGGGGGAGCAAACAGGAUUAGAUACCCCUGGUAGUCCACGCCCUAAACGAUGUCAACUAGUUGUUGGGGAUUCAUUUCCUUAGUAACGUAGCUAACGCGUGAAGUUGACCGCCUGGGGAGUACGGUCGCAAGAUUAAAACUUAAAUGAAUUGACGGGGUCAUAGCUGUUUCCU
This 588-nucleotide ribosomal RNA is filed under the name uncultured bacterium. RNAcentral's name for it is "partial 16S ribosomal RNA". It matches the Rfam family "Bacterial small subunit ribosomal RNA", at positions 355 to 1375 of the family's 1533-position model. The record is from RNAcentral.